CACAUAAAAGUCAGCUAUAAUAAAUUAUUAUGGAAUGGAAAAACUGCGUCACCCAUAAACAAAUAUGGAAAGGUUACAUUUGAGUUUUGUAUAGUGUUUGUUUGUGGAAUAUUCAAUUUGUUACUAAAUACCCAUCGCCCAAACGAAGAAAUCCUCGAAACGUCUUCAUCACUUUGGGAACCAUAAACUUUGAAUUCUACAGCGAUGGAAUUUCAUUUCAGUUUGACACAACUUCCUGGGAUUAUUUUUCGAUUUGAUACAACUUUAUGGAAUUAUUUUUCAGUUUUAUUUUAGUUUGUCACAAUUUCCUGGAUUUUUCGAUGCAUUAAGAAAAACACUUGUGAAGAAGCGCGACGAAGAAUGGAGUACAAGUCAGCAGGAACUGCAAUUAGAACAUCGGCAUGCGCAACUAGAGGAAGAAUUGAAGUUACGUUUCUCGCGCAAUAUGAAGUGGCUUUAAGAAUUUUAAAACAAAUUUCAUUUUAAGAAACUGAGAUAAAUUAUUUAUAGAACUGGUUAAAAGUUCAGCUAACGUUGCGGCAGAAGGUGCUAUCCUUAAUGAAAUGUUAGAAAUUGUAGAGUUCAAAAUACUGGUGGCGCAAUUAUCUACUAUCUGUCCUUAAUUCUUUCCUAGCUCAGGCAAUUAAAACUUAAAUAAGUAAUGAAAUUAGAAGGCUUUUUAAGCUUAAAUGGGUUUUU
Long non-coding RNA from Glossina fuscipes, 699 nucleotides. RefSeq lists it as uncharacterized. The record is from RefSeq and is a predicted model, not a curated record. The transcript has 3 exons. Lineage: Eukaryota; Metazoa; Arthropoda; Insecta; Diptera; Glossinidae.